UGGGGAAUUUUGGACAAUGGGCGAAAGCCUGAUCCAGCAAUGCCGCGUGUGUGAAGAAGGCCUUCGGGUUGUAAAGCACUUUUGUCCGGAAAGAAAUCCUUGGCUCUAAUACAGUCGGGGGAUGACGGUACCGGAAGAAUAAGCACCGGCUAACUACGUGCCAGCAGCCGCGGUAAUACGUAGGGUGCAAGCGUUAAUCGGAAUUACUGGGCGUAAAGCGUGCGCAGGCGGUUUGCUAAGACCGAUGUGAAAUCCCCGGGCUCAACCUGGGAACUGCAUUGGUGACUGGCAGGCUAGAGUAUGGCAGAGGGGGGUAGAAUUCCACGUGUAGCAGUGAAAUGCGUAGAGAUGUGGAGGAAUACCGAUGGCGAAAGGCAGCCCCCCUGGGCCAAAUACUGACGCUCAUGCACGAAAAGCGUGGGGAGCAAAACAGGAUUAGAUACCCUGGUAGUCCACGCCCUAAAACGAUGUCAACUAGUUGUUGGGGAUUCAUUUCCUUAGUAACGUAGCUAACGCGUGAAAGUUGACCGCCUGGGGGAGUACGGUCGCAAGAUUAAAAACUCAAAUGAAUUGACGGGGUCAUAGCUG
RNAcentral lists this ribosomal RNA (588 nucleotides) under uncultured bacterium. RNAcentral's name for it is "partial 16S ribosomal RNA". It matches the Rfam family "Bacterial small subunit ribosomal RNA", at positions 355 to 932 of the family's 1533-position model. The record is from RNAcentral.